UGGGGAAUUUUGGACAAUGGGCGCAAGCCUGAUCCAGCCAUGCCGCGUGCAGGAUGAAGGCCUUCGGGUUGUAAACUGCUUUUGUACGGAACGAAAAGACUCUGGUUAAUACCUGGGGUCCAUGACGGUACCGUAAGAAUAAGCACCGGCUAACUACGUGCCAGCAGCCGCGGUAAUACGUAGGGUGCGAGCGUUAAUCGGAAUUACUGAGCGUAAAGCGUGCGCAGGCGGUUAUGUAAGACAGAUGUGAAAUCCCCGGGCUCAACCUGGGAACUGCGUUUGUGACUGCAUAACUAGAGUACGGCAGAGGGAGGUGGAAUUCCGCGUGUAGCAGUGAAGUGCGUAGAUAUGCGGAGGAACACCGAUGGCGAAGGCAAUCCCCUGGACCUGUACUGACGCUCAUGCACGAAAGCGUGGGGAGCAAACA
Molecule: ribosomal RNA, 427 nt
Filed under: uncultured bacterium
Lineage: Bacteria
Description: bacterial SSU rRNA
Rfam family: Bacterial small subunit ribosomal RNA
Source: RNAcentral